RNAcentral lists this ribosomal RNA (446 nucleotides) under uncultured prokaryote. RNAcentral's name for it is "bacterial SSU rRNA". It matches the Rfam family "Bacterial small subunit ribosomal RNA", at positions 355 to 796 of the family's 1533-position model. The record is from RNAcentral.
UCGAGAAUCUUCGGCAAUGGACGCAAGUCUGACCGAGCGAUGCCGCGUGCGGGAUGAAGGCCCUCGGGUUGUAAACCGCUGUCAGUUGGGAGGAAAUGCCAUGGGGUUCACUCCAUGGUUUGACCGAUCUUCAGAGGAAGGACGGGCUAAGUUCGUGCCAGCAGCCGCGGUAACACGAACCGUCCAAACGUUAUUCGGUAUCACUGGGCUUAAAGCGUGCGUAGGCGGCCUGGAAGGUGAGAUGUGAAAUCCCACGGCUCAACCGUGGAACUGCGUUUCAAACCACCAGGCUUGAGGAAGACAGGGGUGAUGGGAACUUAUGGUGGAGCGGUGAAAUGCGUUGAUAUCAUAGGGAACACCGGUGGCGAAGGCGCAUCACUGGGUCUUUACUGACGCUCAGGCACGAAAGCUAGGGUAGCGAACGGGAUUAGAUACCCCCGUAGUCC